UAGAUAAUAUUAUUUUUCUUCUUGCUUCUCGAAAAUAUUUAUAAAUUAAUUUGACACGUCAUAUUAAAAAGAAAAAACGAAAUAUAGAAAUUAAUAUUGGAUUUUCCUUGGCAAAACUGAUAAACUAAAUUGUAGUUGCGUGUUUGCAUCACCGUUAGUGACAAUGCUCGACGAGUCAAACGAUCGAAAUGUGUCCGAACUCUCGUGCUAUUAAUUUCUCAUCGGAGUAAAUGAAAUACGCGUUGCAUUCGACAGAACGUAAUUUACGGACUGGAAUUAAUGCGCCUCGCGAAAGCUAAGGUCCCACACCUUUGUUAUUUAAUCGCGCUACACCGUUUCCACGCUAAUAGAUUUCACCUUCGACGUUCCAUUUCGGAUCUGAUCUAUAUUUGCAUACGCGUGCACCACCGUGCAUAACUCACGAUGCGAGCGUUACACGUCCAUUUUCUUUUCCGCGAGAAUUCACUUUGGAAUACACACAACACGCUCGAUCGAUAUUGUUCC
Long non-coding RNA from Apis florea (little honeybee), 504 nucleotides. NCBI's taxonomy places the organism in Eukaryota, Metazoa, Arthropoda, Insecta, Hymenoptera, Apidae. The record is from RefSeq and is a predicted model, not a curated record.